ACGCAACACACUACAGACGAUGUACAUGAAUUUCAUAGCAUUUUUAUGAACUUUAUUUGUACCUUCAUUUUUUUUGCAAACUGUUGCCUGUUCCUGCUACUUUUUCAGAUUGUUUUGUGAACUGAGUCUUCUCCGUUCCAGUGCUCCAUCUUCCUAUAAAUCCAUCUCUUUUUUUCCAUAAAUGUUGCAUCUAGUUUUUCCACAUCCUGCAAAAAAAUGAUCAAAUUUGAAAGAUUGUGGGAGUACAGGGGGCUGCCGGACCUGGAAGAGGAGAUCGUCGCAUUAGCAGCAGAGCCGGAUACUGGGAUAUAAGUAAAACAAACAAACUGAUUUUUCAAGUGCUCCUAUGAACUAAAUUUAAAUUAGAAAUUAAACAUAACUUAAAUUUUCAAGUGCUCCUAUGGGUAGUACACGCACAACCUGACAAGGCAAUGUACAAGUUCAUGUAAAAAGAACAACUAAGUUCAUGUACAGUAAACAUUAUAAGUUCACAAAGAAACCUAAAAAGAGUUUUGUACUAUAUCUGCUAUAACAACUAUAACAACCAAGUUAAUGUACACCAUGGGGUCGGACUGGGAGGACGCUGUGGAUCCUGGAGUGGUGGAGAGGGAGCUCAUGUCACUACUACAUUAAUUAUGGUACUAGAAGUUCAUGGAAUAUAAGUAACACAAACUAAUUGAUUUUUAAGUGCUCCUAUGAACUGAACCUAAAUUAGGAAUUGAACUGAACUUAAACGGUGGAAACUUAGGGUAAACCAGUCAGUUUAUAUGAACUAGUUCUGCUUGGACUGAUGUCUGCAUUCCACUUGGAUGGCUGCCAGUCACCAUGGUGGAAGAGCUCGUGGCCAAGUGUGGCCAAGGCGACCACCGGGAACUGUAGGUUCUUGUGCUUCUUCUCAGCAGCGAACUCACACAAGGUGGACGUGGUUAGGGGAAGCACGGUUCACGGGUGGCCUUCAUCUUGCAGCCGGAUACGGGCUGCUCGCGCUCGUGGACGCUGUCGACCGGACGCGGGGCAGCACCACUCGUGGACGGAGAUCAAUAGAAGCUUUUCCAGCACAACAUUCUCUAAUGCAAAUCUUCCUAGUAACCUCAUACAAUGCCACAAAUGCAUUAGCUCUGGUUUCAGCUGAAACUAAAUUUAGAUGAAAUGCGAGAAAAGCUGUUAGGAGGAUAAGAAACCAUUUUCCAAACAAGAAAAUAGACAAGUACAAGCACAAGUAUAGCAAGAGGAGUUGCUGGCAUGUUUAUGUGAAUGCGUAUGUUUGUUCAGUACACCAUGUUUAUGUUGUUCAGUACACCAUGUGAUGGAACUACAAACUUUUUUUCUCUCUGAAACAUGCAAGAUUCACACAAACAUCCUACAUUUCUAGCAUCAGAAAUUACUUGUCAUGAACUGACAGAUUUACACAAGUAGACCAACCAAUGGUGAAAUCUACUAAUCUACUGACUGUUUAAAAGAAUCAGUCAUUUGGUACGCAUCGGGGAUUCAUGUGUUUCGUUGUACUGAAUUCAAUAACCAAAAUGCAGAUUCAUACAAAAAACAUCCAAAAAGAAGUGUAAGCACCUAGGUGGAAUAAAGUUGAAGCCGACAGCCAUGGACUGCUGGUCGCGACGAACUCGACCACCCUAAUGCCAUGGGGUUGGACUGAGGACGGCACACAUGUGCCCUUGAUGACGGCAGAGAGCGCGGGCGACUACAACUACCAGCACUACAAAAACACAUAUUGACUCUGUAGGCAGAGACUACAACACACACACCCAUUCCUGAAUUGCAAAUUUGCAAUACAUAUUUACAUACUACAUCAAGGUGAUAUCUCUGUACUUCAAACUUUAUGGAAGGUGAACUCAUGAUUUUUCUUUUUGAACUUUGUUUCUUUUUUCUCCGAACUGGUACAAACUUCCACCACGUACUUGUGUGCAGUGGGGGCUCCAGUGUCAUGAGUAGAAAAGCAUCGCGAUUAAAACUGAAAAACUUCAAAUGGAGUUAGUAGUGGGCAUUUACCGAGCAGAUCAAAGGAGUUGGCCGGAGCAUCGAUACCAACCUGGACGUACCGGACGAGGGACUCGUCUUC
Molecule: long non-coding RNA, 2074 nt
Filed under: Triticum aestivum (bread wheat)
Lineage: Eukaryota; Viridiplantae; Streptophyta; Magnoliopsida; Poales; Poaceae
Description: long non-coding RNA (TAES_LNC027558)
Source: RNAcentral